GAACACUUCAAAUUUAUUUUCGACCCAAUCGAGAUCGCAACCGGUCAUCGUCACUGUACGAGAGGGUAAAAUGCGCGUUUUGUUGCUUUCGCUGUUCUUAAUUUGCGGAGCUUUUCUUUCCCAUGGAAGACUUUACCGCUUGAUAGUUAAAACCGCGCGCGCAUCAUUUGCCGGCAACUGAUGCUGUAAUCCGAAUCCGAAUUCAAGGCACCCGAGGCGACUUGAAAGAAAGAGUAAUAAACGGGAGAUUUGAACAAGAUGGAACUGACCUCAUUGAUAUCUACGACUAUGACAUUGGAUACAUCAAGGGAGUGGAUAUUAAGCGGAAUAAUGCUGGGUUUUUGCCGGACUGGAAACUUGACAAG
This is a long non-coding RNA of Pocillopora damicornis (cauliflower coral), 365 nucleotides long. The record is from RefSeq and is a predicted model, not a curated record. Lineage: Eukaryota; Metazoa; Cnidaria; Anthozoa; Scleractinia; Pocilloporidae.